GCCUGAUCCAGCCAUACCGCGUGGGUGAAGAAGGCCUUCGGGUUGUAAAGCCCUUUUGUUGGGAAAGAAAUCCAGCCGGCUAAUACCUGGUUGGGAUGACGGUACCCAAAGAAUAAGCACCGGCUAACUUCGUGCCAGCAGCCGCGGUAAUACGAAGGGUGCAAGCGUUACUCGGAAUUACUGGGCGUAAAGCGUGCGUAGGUGGUUGUUUAAGUCUGUUGUGAAAGCCCUGGGCUCAACCUGGGAACUGCAGUGGAAACUGGACAACUAGAGUGUGGUAGAGGGUAGCGGAAUUCCCGGUGUAGCAGUGAAAUGCGUAAAGAUCGGGAGGAACAUCCAUGGCGAAGGCAGCUACCUGGACCAACACUGACACUGAGGCACGAAAGCGUGGGGAGCAAACAGGAUUAAAUACCCUGGUAGUCCACGCCCUAAACGAUGCGAACUGGAUGUUGGGUGCAAUUUGGCACGCAGUAUCGAAGCUAACGCGUUAAGUUCGCCGCCUGGGGAGUACGGUCGCAAGACUGAAACUCAAAGGAAUUGACGGGGGCCCGCACAAGCGGUGGAGUAUGUGGUUUAAUUCGAUGCAACGCGAAGAACCUUACCUGGCCUUGACAUGUCGAGAACUUUCCAGAG
This 633-nucleotide ribosomal RNA is filed under the name Gammaproteobacteria bacterium. Its description in RNAcentral is "bacterial SSU rRNA". It matches the Rfam family "Bacterial small subunit ribosomal RNA", at positions 381 to 1005 of the family's 1533-position model. Lineage: Bacteria; Pseudomonadati; Pseudomonadota; Gammaproteobacteria. The record is from RNAcentral.